Molecule: ribosomal RNA, 554 nt
Filed under: Megophrys gigantica
Lineage: Eukaryota; Metazoa; Chordata; Amphibia; Anura; Megophryidae
Description: partial large subunit ribosomal RNA
Rfam family: Bacterial large subunit ribosomal RNA
Source: RNAcentral
CGCCUUUUGAAUAUUAUAUAAGGUAAUGCCUGCCCAGUGACCAUGUGUUCAACGGCCGCGGUAUUCUGACCGCGCGAAGGUAGCGUAAUCACUUGUUUUCUAAAUAAAGACUAGUAUGAACGGCCACACGAGGACUUAACUGUCUCCCUUGUCCAAUCAGUGAAACUGAUCUCCUCGUGCAGAAGCGAGGAUAUUACCAUAAGACGAGAAGACCCUAUGGAGCUUUAAACUAAAAUCAACUAUUUUUAACUUCUCUCCAAGGAAUUAACAGAUAACCAAAUAUGCUUGAUACAAGUUUUAGGUUGGGGCGACCAUGGAGAAAAAGAAAUCCUCCCUGAUGACUCACAAACCAAGAGCCACGGCUCUAAGUAUUAAGAUACUUAACUUCCAUUGACCCAUUUAAUGAUCAACGAACCAAGUUACCCUAGGGAUAACAGCGCAAUCCAUUUCAAGAGUCCCUAUCGACAAAUGGGUUUACGACCUCGAUGUUGGAUCAGGGCAUCCAAGUGGUGCAACCGCUACUAAAGGUUCGUUUGUUCAACGAUUAAAGCCCU